This is a long non-coding RNA of Rattus norvegicus (Norway rat), 2338 nucleotides long. RefSeq lists it as uncharacterized. The record is from RefSeq and is a predicted model, not a curated record. Lineage: Eukaryota; Metazoa; Chordata; Mammalia; Rodentia; Muridae.
GGGCAGCCACCAGCUCUGACAGUGGUUGUGUGAGCCAUCCUGCCUGUUUCUGCAGUGGUCUCAAGUUCUGUUUCUGUACUCAGUUACUCUUUCCUACCCAUGGUAGACCUCUAUGGGAACAGACUGUCUGGCUCAUAUGUAGUAGGCAUUUUUGGGGGGAGUGUUUACUGUCUACUCCAUCACCCUAAGUCACUCUGCAUCUUGUAAAUCCUUGAAGCGUAUGCUCCUAGCAGUCGCCGUGAUUGGUCCACUUCAUACACCUUACCACAGCUAGUGGAGCUCGGUGUGCAAAACGGAAGUGUCAAGGGAUGGAUGUGAAGAAGGCUCCGGUCUCCCCCAACAACUGCUCUCUGCAGAUAGUUUUUCCACCUUGGGAUGCUAUACGUGGAAUUUAGGAGGACCCAAGGACAAGCAAUCAGCCUUGCUGAACUUUGAACCUCUCUGCACAUGUAGACUCAGGCAGCUCCUUGCGCGAGCUUACAGUUUUCACAGUUGGUUUCUGACCCAUCUAGAUGGCCCCUGUUGCCUUGACGUUGAAUACCCUUGGAAGCUGUGCACGCAAGCAUUGAGAACCUUAGUUGUGCAGAAGUCAGUGUCUGUGCACUGACUACCCUUGACCAAAGGAGCUGAGAGUAGACAGGUGGCUGCUUCUGCUUUUGUCUCCCAGGUAGAAGUUCUGAGAGAUCUUCUGCAAGGCUCCCGGAAGGCCCUGGGGGAUGGAGUAACCACUGUCUUGAUUUGGCCAUCGAUUUGUGUUGCUGAAGGCAGGGAAGUCUGUUUAACUAAAGGACUAACGGAGACGUAUAGCGGGGUCUGAGAUCUAUGGAUUCCCUAGGAGAGGAAGCUAUGGAAAUCAUACAGGAAGAAGAGGCUGCUUUCUCUUGAGAGCCCCGUGGUCAGUGAAGUCCCUCAGUGAGUGGCUGUGGUUGGAACAUGGAAGGCCCUUUGCAAGUUCGGGAAAUGAAGUGGGUUUGGGGAUCCAGGAGGGCUGCCGGUCCAGUGGGGGAAUCCAGCGAAAGUAAGAAUGCAGCAACGGAAGCCAUUUGCCAGGAAGUCACCAGAGAAGAUUUCAAAAUGUACUGGCUGGUCUCUACCAAAGGUUGGGAAGCCCUGGCCUCUGGAAACAAGCAACAAGGACUUCCCCUGCUGUCUUUCUGUUCUGCUUCGAAGGGUUAAGCUUUUCCUAACCUUCAGAUGCCAGUUUAUUUACUGGAAUUACCGCCUGCUUCUUAAAAUUAGAAUGCAUGUGUAUCUAAGUUUUGCUUUUUCAUAGAUCUAUACAGAUAAAGAUAGAUAUAGAGUUUAUAUGUGUUUGUUUGUUUUUCUGUGUUUCCCUGGCUGUCCUGGAAGUAGAUUUGUAGACCAGGCUGGCCUUAAACUCACAGAGACGCCCUGGCCUCUGCCUCCCAAAGUGCUGAGAGGAAAGGCAUGGACCACCACCACCAUGCCAAUAUUUUUCUUUACGACCGUGGUAAAGCGAUGGUAAAGUAGUCUUAAAGCGAUGCUUCAGACCACUGGGGAGACCAGAGAAUAUUUUAAAAAAUCAGCCCAUAUGCCUUUAACAUAACCAGCAUUUAGCUGCGAGCCAUUUUGUGACUUUUUUCUAAGUGGCAGUAUGGGGAAUGGAAGGGCUAAUUCUAGGUUCCAGGCCUGAUUCUUUUUGUAUAACGAGGUCACCCAGACUCCAAAGAACUCUCUUCCCUGGUCUGGGUUUCCUCACUAGAAUGUGAUGAGUCGAACACACACUCCCACGGAAAUGCCGUCUGGUGACUUAAACUGCUUCUGUGGACGUGUGCAUUCUGCCUUUGCUAUUGUGUGGAGGCAGAGUCUGCUGUACCCCUAAGGCAGUCAGUUAGCAGAAUUCCCUUUUUCCAAGGGGGGGGGGCUCUCUCUUAAGAUGUUUAGGUAAUUCAUUGAGGUCUGCACACAUUAUGGGGGAUAAUCCACUGUUCCUCGUGUUUACUGAUAGAAAGGCUGAUGUCUCCGCUGUAAAAUACCUUCUCAUCUGGAGGAAGAUUUGAACAACCUGGGUGCUGUAGUCCGGCCAAGAGGACAUCCAGUCAGCGGCUCAGAUGGCAUCUGAGAUUUCCUGAAUGGACCACAUAGCAGCUGCUUUUGCAUGUCUUUGUCCCUGGCUUUCCAGUUUUCAUACUCUGAGUUUACGCUGAGGAGUUUCACAGGGUCUAUCCUGUGCUUUGUUCUCCUUUGGCCCUUGCGGCUGUUCUGCUGUUAGUCCAACGGCCCUGCAUAUUAACUACUUCCUGUCAGCGUAGAGUGGGUGUUAGUGCCGGUUCUCGAAGCCUUAGCUGUCACUCUGUGGAUCGGCACUCAGAACACA